This 65-nucleotide transfer RNA is filed under the name Melibe leonina. RNAcentral's name for it is "tRNA-His". Lineage: Eukaryota; Metazoa; Mollusca; Gastropoda; Nudibranchia; Dendronotidae. The record is from RNAcentral.
UCUAAGGUUAGUUUAAUAUAAAAUUUUGGUUUGUGGAGCCGAAGAUAACUUUUGUUACCUUUGAA